AUAAAAGUCACCUUGCAUCUCAUUAAAAUGCAGAUCCUAAUGCAAUAUAUCUCAGUAGGGCCUGAGAGUUUGCAUUUCCAACAAGCUCCCAGGUGACUUGAAC
Molecule: microRNA precursor, 103 nt
Filed under: Marmota monax (woodchuck)
Lineage: Eukaryota; Metazoa; Chordata; Mammalia; Rodentia; Sciuridae
Source: RNAcentral